This 621-nucleotide ribosomal RNA is filed under the name Seimatosporium sp. APGG1. Its description in RNAcentral is "eukaryotic LSU rRNA". It matches the Rfam family "Eukaryotic large subunit ribosomal RNA", at positions 145 to 789 of the family's 3401-position model. The record is from RNAcentral. Lineage: Eukaryota; Fungi; Ascomycota; Sordariomycetes; Amphisphaeriales; Sporocadaceae.
GUAAUUUGUAGAGGAUGUUUUUGGUGCGGUAUCUUCCGAGUUCCUUGGAACAGGACGCCUUAGAGGGUGAGAGCCCCGUACGGUUGAAUGCCUAGCCUUUGUAAAACUCCUUCGACGAGUCGAGUAGUUUGGGAAUGCUGCUCUAAAUGGGAGGUAAAUUUCUUCUAAAGCUAAAUACCGGCCAGAGACCGAUAGCGCACAAGUAGAGUGAUCGAAAGAUGAAAAGCACUUUGAAAAGAGGGUUAAAUAGCACGUGAAAUUGUUGAAAGGGAAGGAUUUAUGACCAGACUUUUCCUAGGCGAAUCAUCCGGUGUUCUCACCGGUGCACUUCGUUUAGUUUAGGCCAGCAUCGAUUUUCGGGGCGGGAUAAAAGCUUUAGGAAUGUGGCUCCCUCGGGAGUGUUAUAGCCUAUUGUAUAAUACCGCCCUGGGGAUCGAGGUACGCGCUUCUGCAAGGAUGCUGGCGUAAUGGUUAUCAAUCACCCGUCUUGAAACACGGACCAAGGAGUCGAACAUUUGUGCAAGUGUUUGGGUGUUAAACCCUCACGCGUAAUGAAAGUGAACGGAGGUGAGAGCCCUUUCGGGGGUGCAUCAUCGACCGAUCCUGAGUCUUCGGAUGGAU